Molecule: ribosomal RNA, 547 nt
Filed under: uncultured Eubacteriales bacterium
Lineage: Bacteria; Bacillati; Bacillota; Clostridia; Eubacteriales
Description: bacterial SSU rRNA
Rfam family: Bacterial small subunit ribosomal RNA
Source: RNAcentral
CGAAGCAACGCGAAGAACCUUACCUAGACUUGACAUGUCCUGAAUUACCAGUAAUGUGGGAAGUCCCUUCGGGGACAGGAACACAGGUGGUGCAUGGUUGUCGUCAGCUCGUGUCGUGAGAUGUUGGGUUAAGUCCCGCAACGAGCGCAACCCCUAUUGUUAGUUGCUACCAUUAAGUUGAGCACUCUAGCGAGACUGCCUGGGAUAACCAGGAGGAAGGCGGGGAUGACGUCAAAUCAUCAUGCCCCUUAUGUCUAGGGCUACACACGUGCUACGAUGGCAAGUACAAAGAGAUGCAAGACCGCGAGGUGGAGCUAAACUCAAAAACUUGUCUCAGUUCGGAUUGUAGGCUGAAACUCGCCUACAUGAAGCUGGAGUUACUAGUAAUCGCGAAUCAGAAUGUCGCGGUGAAUACGUUCCCGGGCCUUGUACACACCGCCCGUCACACCAUGAGAGUUGGCAAUACCCAACGUCCGUGAGCUAACCUUCGGGAAGCAGCGGCCUAAGGUAGGGUCAGCGAUUGGGGUGAAGUCGUAACAAGGUAGCC